UUGCUGGUAACGGCAGGGUCUGAAGGAAGCGAUAGGAAGUGAGUGGUACAUAGCGAAAGCGAACCUGAUUCGGCGAUGCGGGAGGGUAAACGUCCGAAAUAGCGUGAAGCCCAAUACUUGGUCAAUCCCGUAUCGUGCUUGAGGAUGCGAUUGCUCACAGGGAGUUCGC
Molecule: non-coding RNA, 169 nt
Organism: Desulfotalea psychrophila LSv54
Lineage: Bacteria; Pseudomonadati; Thermodesulfobacteriota; Desulfobulbia; Desulfobulbales; Desulfocapsaceae
Source: Rfam